This 228-nucleotide ribosomal RNA is filed under the name uncultured bacterium. RNAcentral describes it as "partial 16S ribosomal RNA". It matches the Rfam family "Bacterial small subunit ribosomal RNA", at positions 118 to 347 of the family's 1533-position model. The record is from RNAcentral.
UGAGUAACCUGCCCUUCACUUCGGGAUAACUCCGGGAAACCGGGGCUAUACUGGAUAUGACCUGGUGCCGCAUGGUGCUGGGUGGAAAGUUUUUCGGUGGGGGAUGGACUCGCGGCCUAUCAGCUUGUUGGUGAGGUAGUGGCUUACCAAGGCGACGACGGGUAGCCGGCCUGAGAGGGCGAUCGGCCACACUGGGACUGAGACACGGCCCAGACUCCUACGGGAGCA